GUCUCUACGAAAAAUAAUAUACAGUCUAGCCUGCCCAGUGAAUAACUUAAAUGGCCGCGGUAUCCUGACCGUGCAAAGGUAGCAUAAUAAUUAGUUUUUUAAUUGAAAGCUUGCAUGAAUGGCUGGACAAAGAAAAAUCUGUUUCUACUUUUUUUUUUAAAUUUUACUUUUAGGUGAAAAGGCCUAAAUAAAUUUAAUAGACGAUAAGACCCUAUAAAUCUUUAUAUGAUCUUUUCUUAUGAGUAAUUAUUUGAGUUUAUUUUUUAUAAAAAAAAGAUAUAUUUUGUUGGGGCGACAAGAAUACUAAAACUGUUCUAAUUUUCAAACAAAAAUUUUUGUCUAUAGUAGAUCCUUCACUGAAGAUUAAAAAUUUAAGUUACUUUAGGGAUAACAGCGUAAUUUUUUUUGAGAGUUCAUAUCGACAAAAAAGUUUGCGACCUCGAUGUUGAAUUAAAGUUUCUUUAUAAUGCAGCAGUUAUAAAAGUAAGUCUGUUCGACUUUUAAAACUUU
RNAcentral lists this ribosomal RNA (510 nucleotides) under Phylladiorhynchus joannotae. RNAcentral describes it as "partial large subunit ribosomal RNA". It matches the Rfam family "Bacterial large subunit ribosomal RNA", at positions 1825 to 2597 of the family's 2925-position model. Lineage: Eukaryota; Metazoa; Arthropoda; Malacostraca; Decapoda; Galatheidae. The record is from RNAcentral.